UCCUAGUUUCCCAGGCAGUCCCACCAGAGUGCCCCAUCACUGGGUAGCAACUGGCGGCAGGGGUUGCGCUCGUUAUAGGACUUAACCCAACAUCUCACGACACGAGCUGACGACAGCCAUGCAGCACCUGUGUAUAUGUCUAGAGUUUCCCCUAGAAAACUGUAUUUCUACAGCGGUCAUAUACAUGUCAAACCUAGGUAAGGUUCCUCGCGUAGUGUCGAAUUAAACCACAUGUUCCACCGCUUGUGCGGACCCCCGUCAAUUCCUUUGAGUUUUAAUCUUGCGACCGUAAUCCCCAGGCGGAUCACUUAACGCGUUAGCUACGACACUAAUUCUGCAAAGCAGAACUAACAUCUAGUGAUCAUCGUUUACGGCGUGGACUAC
RNAcentral lists this unclassified non-coding RNA (384 nucleotides) under uncultured bacterium. RNAcentral's name for it is "contains 16S-23S intergenic spacer region". The record is from RNAcentral.